This 598-nucleotide ribosomal RNA is filed under the name Klebsiella oxytoca. RNAcentral describes it as "bacterial SSU rRNA". It matches the Rfam family "Bacterial small subunit ribosomal RNA", at positions 67 to 657 of the family's 1533-position model. Lineage: Bacteria; Pseudomonadati; Pseudomonadota; Gammaproteobacteria; Enterobacterales; Enterobacteriaceae. The record is from RNAcentral.
CGGUAGCACAGAGAGCUUGCUCUCGGGUGACGAGUGGCGGACGGGUGAGUAAUGUCUGGGAAACUGCCUGAUGGAGGGGGAUAACUACUGGAAACGGUAGCUAAUACCGCAUAACGUCGCAAGACCAAAGAGGGGGACCUUCGGGCCUCUUGCCAUCAGAUGUGCCCAGAUGGGAUUAGCUAGUAGGUGGGGUAACGGCUCACCUAGGCGACGAUCCCUAGCUGGUCUGAGAGGAUGACCAGCCACACUGGAACUGAGACACGGUCCAGACUCCUACGGGAGGCAGCAGUGGGGAAUAUUGCACAAUGGGCGCAAGCCUGAUGCAGCCAUGCCGCGUGUAUGAAGAAGGCCUUCGGGUUGUAAAGUACUUUCAGCGGGGAGGAAGGCGUUAAGGUUAAUAACCUUAUCGAUUGACGUUACCCGCAGAAGAAGCACCGGCUAACUCCGUGCCAGCAGCCGCGGUAAUACGGAGGGUGCAAGCGUUAAUCGGAAUUACUGGGCGUAAAGCGCACGCAGGCGUCUGUCAAGUCGAAUGUGAAAUCCCCGGGCUCAACCUGGGAACUGCAUUCGAAACUGGCAGGCUGGAGUCUUGUAGAGG